RNAcentral lists this ribosomal RNA (414 nucleotides) under uncultured microorganism. Its description in RNAcentral is "bacterial SSU rRNA". It matches the Rfam family "Archaeal small subunit ribosomal RNA", at positions 459 to 872 of the family's 1478-position model. The record is from RNAcentral.
CACCCGCCGCGGUAAUACCGGCGGCCCGAGUGGCGGUCACUAUUAUUGGGCUUAAAGCGUCCGUAGCCGGGUUGGGAAGUCCUCCGGGAAAUCUGGCCGCUUAACGGUCAGAAUGCCGGAGGAUACUCCCAGCCUAGGGAGCGGGGGAGGCCGAGGGGAUUCCCGGGGUAGGGGUGAAAUCCUAUAAUCCCGGGAGGACCACCUGUGGCGAAGGCGCUCGGCUGGAACGCGUCCGACGGUGAGGGACGAAGGCCAGGGGAGCAAACCGGAUUAGAUACCCGGGUAGUCCUGGCUGUAAACGAUGCGGACUUUGUGUCGGACAAGCUAUGAGCUUGUCCGGUGCCGGAGGGAAACCGUUAAGUCCGCCGCCUGGGGAGUACGGCCGCAAGGCUGAAACUUAAAGGAAUUGGCGGG